This is a long non-coding RNA of Corticium candelabrum, 321 nucleotides long. RefSeq lists it as uncharacterized. The transcript is spliced from 4 exons. The record is from RefSeq and is a predicted model, not a curated record. NCBI's taxonomy places the organism in Eukaryota, Metazoa, Porifera, Homoscleromorpha, Homosclerophorida, Plakinidae.
AAGCUGCACAUACCCGUAUUCUAUUUGUCCGGCUACUCUCAACCCUUUCAAAGACGGGAACUAAGUAAGUGGAAUUGUUUCUUGUUGGCAAAAGGAAUGUCGAUGUUGGUGUGACUAAAGCUAGAAGCACAAACAACUGCAGGUAGUCAAGAGUGGUUAUUCGAGACCAGACAUUGAACGUAUCCAGACUCUGUGACGUUUAAGCCGCAUUGUGUAAUAUGUAGAGUGUGAGAGGUCUGACACCCCAAACAUUACAGGUAACGUUAACUUCGGUUCGUCUGGUUUCACUGAGAGAGAUUAACACAAACGGAUUAGCUGUAG